UCACCUUACUUCAAGAGUUCUAGUCCCUAGAACUCGACUAGCCACGUACCGAUCAGGUUUCUUCAAAAUUCUCGACCCUCUUAGAUCUUUCUCUGAACUUCUGAUUUUCCUUCUUUAGGACCCUUACAACUCUUGUUUAGACCAGAUAAGGCUUUGUCUUAAAUUUCAAAGCUUUAUCUAAGAUAGGUUGUAAGAAAGAAGGGA
This 204-nucleotide long non-coding RNA is filed under the name Elaeis guineensis (African oil palm). RNAcentral's name for it is "long non-coding RNA (EGUI_LNC066210)". Lineage: Eukaryota; Viridiplantae; Streptophyta; Magnoliopsida; Arecales; Arecaceae. The record is from RNAcentral.